AACGAACGCUGGCGGCAUGCCUAACACAUGCAAGUCGAACGAGACCUUCGGGUCUAGUGGCGCACGGGUGCGUAACGCGUGGGAACCUGCCCUUAGGUUCGGAAUAACUCCCCGAAAGGGGUGCUAAUACCGGAUAAUGUCUUCGGACCAAAGAUUUAUCGCCUUUGGAUGGGCCCGCGUUGGAUUAGCUAGUUGGUAGGGUAAAAGCCUACCAAGGCGACGAUCCAUAGCUGGUCUGAGAGGAUGAUCAGCCACACUGGGACUGAGACACGGCCCAGACUGGCGGGGGAGGCAGAAGGGAGUAAUAGUGGGGAGGGGGAGAGAGGCGGAGACAGCAGGGCGGGGUGGGUGAGGAGGACCGUGGGGUGAUCAAGCCAUGUGGCGGGUGAGGGGAAUGGCAGGGCCGGGAGAAGAAGGUCCGGGAACAAGCGUGACAGCAGCGGUGGGAAGAAGAGGGGAGCGCGCAACAAACC
Molecule: ribosomal RNA, 473 nt
Filed under: uncultured bacterium
Lineage: Bacteria
Description: partial 16S ribosomal RNA
Rfam family: Bacterial small subunit ribosomal RNA (bases 20-302)
Source: RNAcentral